GACGAACGCUGGCGGCGUGCUUAACACAUACAAGUCGAACGGAAAGGCCCUGCUUUUGUGGGGUGCUCGAGUGGCGAACGGGUGAGUAACACGUGAGUAACCUGCCCUUGACUUUGGGAUAACUUCAGGAAACUGGGGCUAAUACCGGAUAGGAGCUCCUGCUGCAUGGUGGGGGUUGGAAAGUUUCGGCGGUUGGGGAUGGACUCGCGGCUUAUCAGCUUGUUGGUGGGAUAGUGGCUUACCAAGGCUUUGACGGGUAGCCGGCCUGAGAGGGUGACCGGCCACAUUGGGACUGAGAUACGGCCCAGACUCCUACGGGAGGCAGCAGUGGGGAAUAUUGCACAAUGGGCGGAAGCCUGAUGCAGCAACGCCGCGUGCGGGAUGACGGCCUUCGGGUUGUAAACCGCUUUCGCCUGUGACGAAGCGUGAGUGACGGUAAUGGGUAAAGAAGCACCGGCUAACUACGUG
Molecule: ribosomal RNA, 468 nt
Filed under: uncultured bacterium
Lineage: Bacteria
Description: partial 16S ribosomal RNA
Rfam family: Bacterial small subunit ribosomal RNA
Source: RNAcentral